Daktulosphaira vitifoliae (grape phylloxera) is the source of this 6182-nucleotide RNA transcript. It is a transcript of the gene named trehalase, with no coding region annotated. The transcript has 10 exons. The record is from RefSeq and is a predicted model, not a curated record. NCBI's taxonomy places the organism in Eukaryota, Metazoa, Arthropoda, Insecta, Hemiptera, Phylloxeridae.
UUUUGGCACUGCAAUGUUAGCUCAGUUAUUCGCGUGCUUGGCUACGGCGAAAAGUUUUUGUUAGUAACAGCUGCUGUGUAAUUUUCAACUUGUAAACGUUUUUUGGAGUUUGGAACAAAGGUUUGACUUCUCUAGCUGCUUAAUGUCAUCACCAUAACAGGAUUUUUGGUCAAUGAAGUCAUUAAAUAGUUCAUUGAAAAUUCUCUGCAACACAACUAUACUUAACAGGAUACUACAAUACACAUAUCAUUUUAGUCAAACUCGACCAUGAGUCAUUUGAUUUAUAUGAAAUUAAAAAAUGCAAUGGCUCGAAUUGGUCAAGUCGACCGUUGGCCGCCCGUUCACAAAUUCAAAAGAUCGCAUUGGCAAGUCAACGCCGGUACGAUUGUCUCCGGCCGCAGCAGCAGCAGCAACAGCAACUCAAGUGGCCACAAUAAAAUAAUUGCUGUCUACAACAGUAGAACAGUUGCGAAAACGCCAACAAUUGUCACAAGGAAGUAAGCUCACGCGGCAAACACGAUUUGUUUUUCAAGUUACCUUAACUUAACCAAAAGUCUCGUUAUUUGUUUGUUGUUGUAAAAUUAAUUAACAGAGUUACCAAAAUUUUUAACUCCGCGCAUUUAGAUCGGAUUAUAAAGUCACAUUCAGUAUUUAAUUUAAUAAAUAAUUAUAUAUUUCAUAUCUGUGAUAGUGUUUAAAUCGUUUUUGGUUUUAGUAAUUUGUUUUUAAGUAUAACUACAAUAUAAUUUUUUUUAUAUUCUUAAAUUUUUUUCCGUAAACAUUUAUUCACACCGUACAAUGCUACAAAUUGCGAACGUACUUACCAGUUCCGCUAUCCUGAGGAUUCUAUUCAUACUGGUAAGUUCCCUGUCUGGGGGCUGGAGUUCGGAUGCUGAUCAACACAUAGCUUCGUCUCCCACGUGCGACAGUGAUAUAUAUUGCUAUGGACCAUUACUGCAUGUUGUACAAAUACAUCACAUAUUUCCUGACUCAAAGACUUUUGUCGACAUGAAGAUGAAACAAUCGCCCAAUGAAACAAUGAGUCUAUUUUUAGAUAUGAUGAAAAAGACAGGUCAGCGACCUACACGAUUAGAAGUUGAGCUUUUUGUGAACGACACAUUUGAAGCCGAAGGUAGUGAGUUUGAGCCUUGGGACCCAGCUGACUGGAAGCAACACCCCAAAUUUAUCAAUGAAAUAAGAGAUACUAAUUUUCAAGAGUGGGCAAAACAGUUGAACUUAAUGUGGAAAUUAUUGGGUAGAAAAAUCAAAGACGACGUACGUUUACAUCCUGAUCACUAUUCCAUUAUUUAUGUCCCAUACCCAGUGAUUGUGCCGGGCGGUAGGUUUCGAGAGUUCUACUAUUGGGACUCGUAUUGGAUUGUCCGAGGUCUGCUUCUUUCUGAAAUGUACAGCACAGUGAAGGGUAUGCUUAGCAACUUUUUAUCAAUCGUCAACACCUAUGGACAUAUACCCAAUGGUGGCCGAGUGUACUAUGCCAUGAGAUCACAACCACCCAUGUUAGUACCAAUGAUGUCGAGCUAUAUUGAGGCGACCAAUGAUACUGCGUUCCUUCGAGAUAACAUCGACAUACUCGAGCGCGAGUUUGACUAUUGGAUGAGAAAUCACACAGUGGACAUCGAAAAAGACGGCAAAGUGUACACUUUGGCCAGAUACAAGGAUUCUUCGGUUGGUCCAAGGCCAGAAUCGUACAGGGAAGAUAUUCAGAGUGCUCAAAUAUUUAAAUCUGACGUCGAUAAAGAAAAUCACUACUCCGAAUUAAAAGCUGCUGCUGAAUCUGGAUGGGAUUUUUCUAGUCGGUGGUUUAUACUGAAUGGAACUAAUAAAGGAAAUUUAACAAAUUUGAAGACUCGUUAUAUUAUUCCAGUAGAACUCAAUGCACUAAUUUAUUGGAAUGCAAAAAUACUUAGCGAUUUUUAUCGUGAUUUGAAUGUGCCCGAAAAGGUUCUGAAAUAUGAGAACAUUGGAUAUAAGUGGAUCGAGGCAGUGACGGCGAUUCUGUGGCACGAGGAGGUCGGAGCCUGGUUGGACUACGAUAUGCUAAAUGAAAUAAAACGCGAUUACUUCUACCCGACUAAUAUUUCGCCGUUAUGGACUGGUUGCUAUGAUUCGAAGAAAACAGAAUAUUUUGUGUCGAGAUCAUUGAAGUACCUGGAGAAAACUCAGAUUAUGAACAAUCUCGGUGGGAUACCGACGACGUUGGAACAUUCUGGAGAGCAAUGGGAUUACCCAAAUGCAUGGCCACCUCUUCAGUACAUAAUGGUUAUGUCUCUGGACGCUUCUGGGGAUAGUUGGGCUCAAGAUUUGGCGUUCGAGAUCGCUGAAAGAUGGGUUCGUUCUAAUUUCAAAGCGUUCAACGAGACUCGCUAUAUGUUUGAAAAAUACGAUGCUACCGUUCCAGGGGGUCAUGGAAGCGGAGGAGAGUAUGAAGUUCAAUUGGGUUUCGGUUGGACAAACGGUAUAAUUAUGGAGUUUCUGCACAAAUACGGAUCGCGAAUUACAGCUGAAGACAAGUUCACAGAAGCAUCGCAAAUUAGAGCUAGUGCAAUCGAAAGCAGUAGCAGUUUUAAUUCAAAAAGUGUUUCAUCAGUAACGCAAGUUAUGACUGUAAUGCUUGCGAUACUGGCGACGAUAUCAGCCGGAUGCAUAGGGUGAGAUGUUUUACAAAAGUAGAUUAUGUAGUUAAUUUAUAAGAACAAUUCCCUCGUGUAAACUGGAAGGAUCUCUUGAAAUAAUUAUCAGGUCAGACGUAUUUAACAGAGGUUUACAUAGCUGAACAUUUCUUUUUUUUGUGCUAUCACAUUUUAGUUUAUUUAUUGUUUUUUGUUUUGUACAUGUGACAUGUAGUUGUUGUUUAUUUUUUUUGCUUUUUUAGAAAUGCAACUUUUUUUGUGUAAUCUUUAUGACCUUUUAGUAUAUAUCUACUUACAUUAAUUUACAUACUAUUUUAUUCGAAGAUAGACAUUUUUGACGUUAGAUCUAAAUUUACUAUACCAAAAUAUAUUUGUGUGUGCAUAUGUGUGUGUGAGAGUGUGUGCUUAUCACCGUUGUAUAAUAUAAUAUACAUAUAUAUUCAUGUAUUAUAUUAUGUUAACUAUUUUAAUGGAGUUUAAGUUCCUUCGAGCAAUUGUGUUGCUGUGAGUUCAACCAAAAUUGUUGCCAGUUAUGCAUUAUUUGCUUGAUAUUUUUAAUUGGAAACAUAAAACAAAGUGAUGUAAUAUGUGUUAAGUUUAUAAAUUAGAGUUAGUUUGCACGUUUUAGUGAGAUUCGAAAUGACAAACGUUUUCGUUAAGUUUGUUUUAAUUCAAAUGGGUAACAAAAUGUAUACAUGUCUUUCGUAUAAUCUGUCCGUGAUAAAACGCUUCAAAUUUUGUAAUUUAAUUACACACGUAAAUAUUUUGAUUUCUCGUAAAUUGUAAUCUUAUGAAAAAAUUCGUUUUACAUCUGUUUUCCUAGUAUUUUUUACGGUAAUUUACUGUUAAUUAAUUUAUUUUAUUAUUAUAUUACUUUAAAUUUUGUAUAAACAAUUAACGUAGGUAUAAUAUUAUUGUAUAGUAGUUAAUAAAUUACCUAUUGUGAUUAUAAAUUAUCGUUAAAAUAUAUCAAUGAAGCCUAAUUAUUGUAAUAAUAAUAAAAUAGUAUAAAGUGGUUAUAAUAAAUAAGAUAUUUUUGAAAUUUGAAUUCAGUUUAACUAUAAAAGUUCAAUAUUUUCUUCUGCAAUGUCAAAUUCGAUUUAAUUGUCAAACAACUAAAGAUACAAAUCUAGUUAUUUUUUGACAACUAUGUAUUUUACUCGUUGAACUAUGCCUAAGCUGUUUGUUUUUCUAUUAAUUUAUUAUCUAGGCUGUACAAAUCGAGAUGGUUAGCUCAAUUUUCGACUUGUUAUUUAUUAUUUAUUUUUCGACUCAUGUUAUUCUCUCGAAAUACAUGUGUAUUGUUCCCGGUAGUUCCUAAGGUAGAAUCCUAGUUUCCAUAUAUCACGUCUUGGUAUGUUGGGACACUUAAAAUUAAUCUUUGAGUUUCGAUUAAUGAUAUUUUCUUUAUUUCUGCAAUUGCUAAAAUAUCUAGUCAAUCGUAUCAGUCAUCGAUCACUGUAUUAUGAUUUGUACCAGCGGGAUGUAAGUAAAUGAAAUAUGUCAAUAGUAAAUGUGUUAGAAAUCAUGCAAAUAAUUGGAGAGAUUAUUUUUAUCGAUAUAUUUAAGGGAAAAUAAAAUAAUAGUAUACUUUUUUUAAUCAAGAACAAGUACCUACGCUGUUGAACAUGCACUCAAUUGAUGUUAUAUAUAUUUUCAUCAAUUCAAUUUAAAAUGGUAAAUUUAGCGAUUAAUAAAAAAUAUUUACUAAUGACACAUAAAUGCAGUUUUGAAUAUUUGAUUACAUAAAUUUAGUAUCGCAAAUUAACAAUUUAUUUCAUUAUUAUUAUUUAAAUCCCGUCUAUAUUGUAUAACAAUGUAAUAUAACCAUGUGUUACCAUAAUUAACAUCUUCAUGGAUCGUUUUUUAUUUUAAUAAAAUUUAUUGGAAUUAACUGUUACAUUUCUUGUACCAACUUUGUACCUGCUUGCUAUGUUACCAAGAUUUAUUUAUUAGUUUCAAAAUAUUAUUAACAUAAUAGUUUUUUCAAAGGAAAAUAAAAUUGUCCUUUUUAAAGAAAUUUCAAAGUAGUACUGUUAUCUUAACUUACUAUAAUGAUAUCCUUUAACGAAACAAAUAAUGUUCAUAGUAAUAACUAUAGAUGUAUGUACAUUAUAUGGUACAAUAUAAAUGAUCAAUUUUUACACCCGCAUAUCAAAAUUAUUUUAUAUAAUAUGUCUAUACUUAUGAAUGAUGUUAUUUAUAUUUUUUGGAAUCAUAGAAUAUUAUUUAAAUAACCCAUUAUAUUAUUAUUAUUAAUUACAUUAUUUAGGUUUAAAUUUUGAAUAUUAUUGUUUUUUUAUUUCUGUUUUAAUUAUCUUUCUUUAAUAUUAAUAUUUUGCUAUUAUCAUUAUUCAUUAUGCAUGUAGUUUAGUAGAUUAUUAUAUUUAGAAAAUUUAAAUUCUGUUUAUUUAUCGAUAUUGUACAAAAGCUGACUUUUUAGUUAAUUUAUUCGAUUUAAUUAAAACCGAUUUAAUAGCUUGUCACAUUUUAUUAUUAAUAUACAAAAACUAUCAAUAAACUCUUUGAUAAUAUAAUAUUAUUGAGUAUUUUGUUUAAUUUGUUUAAUAUUUAAAAUAUAUUACUACUGCUUACCCAAUAAAAGUUUUUGACUGUUUCUGUUACUAAUUACUCUAACUAAAAUUUACCAUUAGUAAAAAUAUCAAAAAAUAUUUAUUUGAUUUAAUUUAAUUAUUGUAAAUACUAUUAGGAUGAAUUAGAAUGUUUUCUUUAUUAUAUAGUUAUAAUAUUAUUAUAAAUUAUAAAAUGAUGAUUUGAAAUAAUAAACAUAAAAAUAAUUUAACUUAUUUAGUUAUUAGAUUUUUAUAUAGCAUUUUAGUUGAAAUCAGUUCAACUCAAAAAACUCUUUAUAAUAAUCUGCAAAGUAUUUUAAUAUUCUCAUAUACCAUACUCAUAAACUUGCACUGGAUAAAAAUUUUACAAUACUCUAUUAUAAAUGUCAUUUUUUUCUUCUAUAGUAUAUUCAAUUUUUGUAAUAUUAAUGGACACUUAUUAUUUUAAUACUUAUAAUUAGGCAUAAUACGAAUGGUUAACACCGUCAACUUUGGUCAUCCCUACCGCAAAAAUUACAAAUUAUGAUUUUUAUGAAAUGAACAAUCGUUCCUAAAUACAUAUUAAUUCUCGCGUUCGUCUAUGAAUAUAAGUAACACUUUAUUUAGUACAGAUGUUGCAAAGAAUGUAACACUUACAAUUUUUUUUUUUAAUAUGCUGUGUGUUGGUAUUUAUGUUAGUUUGUUUUUUCGCAUGCUUUUAGUAGUACUUGAAGACCAAUUUAUAACUCUCAACUAAUCUGAGCUUCUUAAAUCAUCGCAGUUUAGCAUCGAGAUAGCAGAUUUGCUGUUUAUAAAAAGCGACAAAUAUGCAGCAACAAUUGUGCUCAAUACAAAAAACUAUGCAGUGGUUAUACGGAAUUAAGAGAUUUGACAAGUGACUGAAUUACUCAGUUAUUGGACUUAUAUUUGUUAACCACUAUAUUUAAUGUUCCACAUGACAUUGCAACCUAAAGUCUAG